Molecule: ribosomal RNA, 434 nt
Filed under: uncultured bacterium
Lineage: Bacteria
Description: partial 16S ribosomal RNA
Rfam family: Bacterial small subunit ribosomal RNA
Source: RNAcentral
AGCGAACGCUGGCGGCAGGCCUAACACAUGCAAGUCGAACGAACCUUUCGGGGUUAGUGGCGGACGGGUGAGUAACACGUGGGAACGUGCCUUUAGGUUCGGAAUAACUCAGGGAAACUUGUGCUAAUACCGAAUGUGCCCUUCGGGGGAAAGAUUAAUCGCCUUUAGAGCGGCCCGCGUCUGAUUAGCUAGUUGGUUGAGGUAAUGGCUCACCAAGGCGACGAUCAGUAGCUGGUCUGAGAGGAUGAUCAGCCACAUUGGGACUGAGACACGGCCCAAACUCCUACGGGAGGCAGCAGUGGGGAAUCUUGCGCAAUGGGCGAAAGCCUGACGCAGCCAUGCCGCGUGAAUGAUGAAGGUCUUAGGAUAGUAAAAUUCUUUCACCGGGGACGAUAAUGACGGUACCCGGAGAAGAAGCCCCGGCUAACUUCGUG